Molecule: ribosomal RNA, 593 nt
Filed under: Blastocystis sp.
Lineage: Eukaryota; Bigyra; Opalinata; Blastocystidae
Description: partial large subunit ribosomal RNA
Rfam family: Eukaryotic large subunit ribosomal RNA
Source: RNAcentral
ACCCGGGGCAUUGCCUCAGUACGGCGAGCGAAGCGGCAAAAGCUCAAAUUUGAAAUCUAGCGCCUACCAGCGUUCGAGUUGUAAUUUGAAGAAGGUAACUUUGGUAAUGGCCCUUGCAUAUGUUCCUUGGAAUAGGACGUCAUAGAGGGUGAGAACCCCGUUUAUGGUGAGGUGCUCCAUUGCUAUGUAAAGUGCUUUCUAAGAGUCGAGUUGUUUGGGAAUGCAGCUCUAAGUGGGUGGUAAAUUCCAUCUAAGGCUAAAUAUAGGCGAGAGACCGAUAGCGAACAAGUACAGUGAUGGAAAGAUGAAAAGAACUUUGAAAAGAGAGUGAAAAAGUACGUGAAAUUGCUGAAAGGGAAGGGCUUGACAUCAGACUCGGCUUGUAAUGAUCAACUGUCUCUUGGGACUGUGCACUCGUUGCUUGCUGGGCCAACAUCAGUUUUGGUGGUAGGAUAAUAACAGUGGAAUGUGACUUUGCUUCGGUGAAGUGUUAUAGCCUCUGUUGAUACUACCAACCGGGACUGAGGACCGCGCAUUUAUGCUAGGAUGUUGGCGUAAUGAUGUUAAGCCACCCGUCUUGAACCAAGGGACCA